GACUGGGCUUCAGAGAGACCCGAACUGGCAGCCUGACCUGCCUCUGAUUUACUGUGAACAAGAGCUGACCACUCAACUGUUCUGGGUGUCCCCAUUCACAGAUAGAACCCGAAGGGCAGAUGGGCUUCCUAGGUGGCUCAGUGGUAAAGAAUCUGCCUGCAAUGCAGGAGACCCAGGUUUAAUUCCUGGGUUGGAAAGAUCCCCUGGAGAAUGGGAUAGGCUACCCACUCCAGUGUUCUUGCCUGGAAAAUCCCAUGGACAGAGGAGACUGGUGGACUACAAUCCAUGGGGUCGAAAACGAGGUGGACACGACUUAACGACCGAGCAGGAGUUUCGCGAAAGAGGGUAAGAACGAAGGACCUGCAUUUGGCCACUCAGCAUCUUUCCCUGUCUUUGCCGCGGGCACCUGCUGCAGUGACUGACCCUCCUGUGCGACCGUGAAUUCCGGUGGUACCUACGGUUUCGCUUCUGUGGUCCCUGACCCUGCACUGUUAACAGGACAGGGCCACGACCACCGUCUCCGGAGAAACUCACCAUGCAUACGUCACUAUCCCCUCGUUGUGGAUGGAGAUCCAGGCUCAGAGAGGGAGAGCUGCUUUCUCGAGGUCACACAGCUUCGGAAGCAGAGUGCAGGCCAUGAUGGCUUUUCCCCCCAACCUCCAUCCAGGGGCACUGUGUCCCAUGCCACCUCUCGCAGGCGCUAGACAGAGCAUUUCCUGGUCUGUGUUUGGAGGCUGCGCCAAGGGCCAGGUGCAUUUCUGACUUGGCUGGAUCACAGGCUUCGGGGCAGGUGACCUUUUCACGGUGGCAUUUCCAGCUUUCCUUGUUCCCCUGAAUUCAGGCCGGGUCUGCCAGCAACAACCAGGUCAGGCAGGAGGAAGUUCUCCAGUUUCAGAGAAGAUAUUCAAGUGCUGGCCACAGAAAGCAGCCAGGCCUGGCCCCUGGGGUCUGGCCACCUGCCUGGUCCUU
This is a long non-coding RNA of Bos taurus (domestic cattle), 969 nucleotides long. The record is from Ensembl. NCBI's taxonomy places the organism in Eukaryota, Metazoa, Chordata, Mammalia, Artiodactyla, Bovidae.